CCUACGGGAGGCAGCAGUGGGGAAUAUUGCACAAUGGGGGGAACCCUGAUGCAGCCACGCCGCGUGGGUGAAGAAGUACUCCGGUAUGUAAAGCCCUGUCAGCAGGGAAGAAAAUGACGGUACCUGACCAAGAAGCCCCGGGUAACUACGUCCCAGCAGCCGCGGUAAUACGGAGGGGGCAAGCGUUAACCGGAUUUACUGGGUGUAAAGGGAGCGUAGACGGCAAGGCAAGUCUGGAGUGAAAUGCCGGGGCGCAACCCCGGAACUGCUUUGGAAACUGUGCAGCUGGAGUGCAGGAGAGGUAGGCGGAAUUCCUAGUGUAGCGGUGAAAUGCGUAGAUAUGAGGAGGAACACCAGUGGCGAAGGCGGCUUACUGGACUGUAACUGACGUUGAGGCUCGAAAGCGUGGGGAGCAAACAGGAUUAGAUACCCGAGUAGUC
RNAcentral lists this ribosomal RNA (440 nucleotides) under uncultured bacterium. RNAcentral describes it as "partial 16S ribosomal RNA". It matches the Rfam family "Bacterial small subunit ribosomal RNA", at positions 338 to 795 of the family's 1533-position model. The record is from RNAcentral.